AAUAGGAUCAUUUUUCAGUUUUUUGAUACAAUGUUUUGACUCUUCGUUUUAUUUGAGAUUUUUUUGCGAUUAAUAUUUUUAUUCUUACUGGAUGAUAAAACAUGAAUACUACUUUAUGCGUGACUAAUUUUUUUAAUUUUUUUAUAAAUUUUUCAAAUAAGACGAAUAUUCAAAUGUUGGACAUGGAAAAAC
Molecule: microRNA precursor, 192 nt
Filed under: Oryza brachyantha (malo sina)
Lineage: Eukaryota; Viridiplantae; Streptophyta; Magnoliopsida; Poales; Poaceae
Description: MIR812 microRNA precursor family
Rfam family: MIR812 microRNA precursor family
Source: Rfam by way of RNAcentral